RNAcentral lists this ribosomal RNA (800 nucleotides) under uncultured Funneliformis. RNAcentral's name for it is "SSU rRNA". It matches the Rfam family "Eukaryotic small subunit ribosomal RNA", at positions 314 to 1114 of the family's 1831-position model. Lineage: Eukaryota; Fungi; Glomeromycota; Glomeromycetes; Glomerales; Glomeraceae. The record is from RNAcentral.
AUCAACUUUCGAUGGUAGGAUAGAGGCCUACCAUGGUAUCAACGGGUAACGGGGAAUUAGGGUUCGACUCCGGAGAGGGAGCCUGAGAAACGGCUACCACAUCCAAGGAUGGCAGCAGGCGCGCAAAUUACCCAAUCCCGACACGGGGAGGUAGUGACAAUAAAUAACAAUACGGGGUUCUUUAGGAUCUCGUAAUUGGAAUGAGUACAAUUUAAAUCUCUUAACGAGGAACAAUUGGAGGGCAAGUCUGGUGCCAGCAGCCGCGGUAAUUCCAGCUCCAAUAGCGUAUAUUAAAGUUGUUGCAGUUAAAAAGCUCGUAGUUGAAUUUCGGGAUCAAUAUUUCGGUCAUGCCGUUGGUAUGCACUUUUAUCAUUGAUUUCUCACCUUCUAAAGAACCGUAAUGCCAUUAAUUUGGUGUUACGGGGAAUUAGGACUGUUACCUUGAAAAAAUUAGAGUGUUUAAAGCAGGCUCACGCUUGAAUACAUUAGCAUGGAAUAAUGAAAUAGGACAUCCGAUUCUAUUUUGUUGGUUUCUAGGAUCGAUGUAAUGAUUAAUAGGGAUAGUUGGGGGCAUUAGUAUUCAAUUGUCAGAGGUGAAAUUCUUGGAUUUAUUGAAGACUAACUACUGCGAAAGCAUUUGCCAAGGAUGUUUUCAUUAAUCAAGAACGAAAGUUAGGGGAUCGAAGACGAUCAGAUACCGUCGUAGUCUUAACCAUAAACUAUGCCGACUAGGGAUCGGAUGAUGUUAAUUUUUUAAUGACUCAUUCGGCGCCUUACGGGAAACCAAAGUGUUUGGGUUC